AGCAUAUCAAUAAGCGGAGGAAAAGAAACUAAAACGGAUUCCCCUAGUAACUGCGAGUGAAGCGGGAAAAGCUCAAAUUUAAAAUCUGGUAGUCUAUGGCUGCCCGAGUUGUAAUCUAGAGAAGCGUUAUCCGCGCUGGACCGUGUACAAGUCUCCUGGAAUGGAGCGUCAUAGAGGGUGAGAAUCCCGUCUUUGACACGGACUACCAGGGCUUUGUGAUGCGCUCUCAAAGAGUCGAGUUGUUUGGGAAUGCAGCUCUAAAUGGGUGGUAAAUUCCAUCUAAAGCUAAAUAUUGGCGAGAGACCGAUAGCGAACAAGUACCGUGAGGGAAAGAUGAAAAGAACUUUGGAAAGAGAGUUAAACAGUACGUGAAAUUGUUGAAAGGGAAACGCUUGAAGUCAGUCGCGUUAGCUAGGAAUCAGCCUUGCUUUUGCUUGGUGUACUUCCUUGUUGACGGGUCAGCAUCAAUUUUGAUCGGUGGAUAAAGGCCAGUGGAAUGUGGCAUCUUCGGAUGUGUUAUAGCUACUGGUCGUAUACAUCGGUUGGGAUUGAGGAACUCAGCACGCCGAAAGGCCGGGUUUUUAACCACGUUCGUGCUUAGGAUGCUGGCAUAAUGGCUUUAAUCGACC
RNAcentral lists this ribosomal RNA (629 nucleotides) under Clitopilus hirneolus. RNAcentral's name for it is "partial large subunit ribosomal RNA". It matches the Rfam family "Eukaryotic large subunit ribosomal RNA", at positions 37 to 649 of the family's 3401-position model. The record is from RNAcentral. Lineage: Eukaryota; Fungi; Basidiomycota; Agaricomycetes; Agaricales; Entolomataceae.